Rosa chinensis is the source of this 1314-nucleotide long non-coding RNA. RefSeq lists it as uncharacterized. The transcript has 3 exons. NCBI's taxonomy places the organism in Eukaryota, Viridiplantae, Streptophyta, Magnoliopsida, Rosales, Rosaceae. The record is from RefSeq and is a predicted model, not a curated record.
AAUAAAAAUUAAAAGCUAGUUUCAAACUCGGUGUUGGCCAGCCCAAACUCCAAAGUCCAAACUAUUAGGAUGACCCCAUAGGCAGUUCUCCGUACCGUACAAACAGAAGAUGAUAGCCAAAAAGUUCAGUGCGUGGGAUCUGUUUCAAAGAGAUGAAGAGUCAUACCACACCACAAGGCGAUUCCUAAUCCUAUUCUUCAUGAUCAUGUCCCUAUAGCACUACCGAAAUACAGUAGCUACUACCAGUACUAGUAGAGCUAGUACUGUGAACUGUGAAGUGGAACACAUGUAUAAGUUCUACUAUGGUUCUGGGUGGGUUUUAGUAAGAAAUUUUUGCUGUACAAUCAGAAGAACAAUGUUGCGUAUGAUGGAGCUCACUUGUUGGAACAAUGCAUGGACCAAAUAGAAAAAUUUAAGCAUUGAAGAGUGGUGAGUUCAAAUAUGUUAUUGUUGGUAAUGGAGUUGCAAUAUGUUUUAAAAAAAAAUUGCAUGUGAAUAUUAGCAUUUUCAUGAGUUCAUAAACCUUUUCCAUUGUGGGGGUGUGUGUGUAUAUUUUCGCUUUUUUGGGUUAGGGUAGUGUUUGUUGAUUAUAGGACUGGAUUUGGUGUAUUGGUUAAUGCUGUUAAUACCCUACAACCAAAACAAGUUUAUGAAUUAAAUAUUGCAUUAUUAACAAAGAUCAAACUGUAUAGCCACCUUGACUUUUUCCUAUUUUCCGUUUGAGAUAAUGUAGCUCUCAAACAUUUAGAUACAUUUAAAAUCCUAAAUCAGGUUGUAUGGUCGUUGGACAUAAUCUUUCACGUAAAGGUCGAUUUACAGAAUGAGUCAUCAAGAGAGUCAUUAGGCUCUUGUUGAAGGCAUACAUAUCAUCAAUGGGAAUCCAAGAUGGAUAUGAUCAUCUAUAGGGUGCUCAAUGAUGUUAGGGCAAAGCAAAGAUACUUGGAUACCCACUCUUGCAAAAGCUAAGAGCUGGGAAUUUGAUCAAAUCUCUGAGUUGGCAAUGCCUUACAAGUUGUUGCUUUUGCUGGCCGACAACUAUUUUUUUCCAGAGGGAGCAAAGAUGCGCCUGAAUUAUCAGUGCAAAGUAGCAAGUGCAUAGCUGAAAAUGGUGUCAAAUUAACAACCAUUGCCUAGACUAGAGAGAGUUAUGCAGAUGCUCAUGGUUGAUUGGCCGGAGUUAAUUAUACAAGUAGAAAACUUUAGAUAAUCAAAGUUGUAAUCAAGUAGAUGAAUUCAUGCUGCGGCAGGCCGCGUCCCACUUUGUAUUAAGUUGAUUAUUCUUCAUAAUCUUAAUAUUCUGUGCUUAGAAUAAAC